AAUGAACGCUGGCGGCGUGCUUAACACAUGCAAGUCGAACGAGAAAGCCUUGGCUUGCCAGGGCGAGUAAAGUGGCGCACGGGUGAGUAACGCGUGGGUAAUCUACCCCUGAAUUCGGGAUAACCCUUCGAAAGGGGGGCUAAUACCGGAUAACAUCCGAUUGACCUUGGUUGAUUGGAUCAAAGAAGGCCUCUACAUGUAAGCUUUUGUUUGGGGAUGAGCCCGCGUACCAUUAGCUAGUUGGCAGGGUAACGGCCUACCAAGGCUACGAUGGUUAGCUGGUCUGAGAGGAUGAUCAGCCACACUGGAACUGACACACGGUCCAGACUCCUACGGGAGGCAG
Molecule: ribosomal RNA, 343 nt
Filed under: uncultured Pseudomonadota bacterium
Lineage: Bacteria; Pseudomonadati; Pseudomonadota
Description: bacterial SSU rRNA
Rfam family: Bacterial small subunit ribosomal RNA
Source: RNAcentral